ACAAAAGUAGUUUACUUAAAAUAUUAGCUUGUCAAGCUGAAGAGGGUAGUUUAUUCUGUUCUUUUGUG
Molecule: transfer RNA, 68 nt
Filed under: Pseudochauhanea macrorchis
Lineage: Eukaryota; Metazoa; Platyhelminthes; Monogenea; Mazocraeidea; Chauhaneidae
Description: tRNA-Asp
Rfam family: tRNA
About the family: Transfer RNA (tRNA) molecules are approximately 80 nucleotides in length. Their secondary structure includes four short double-helical elements and three loops (D, anti-codon, and T loops).
Source: RNAcentral